RNAcentral lists this ribosomal RNA (305 nucleotides) under uncultured bacterium. Its description in RNAcentral is "partial 16S ribosomal RNA". It matches the Rfam family "Bacterial small subunit ribosomal RNA", at positions 505 to 807 of the family's 1533-position model. The record is from RNAcentral.
ACAGCAGUAGCCACGGUAAUACGAAGGGUGCAAGCGUUACUCGGAAUUACUGGGCGUAAAGCGUGCGUAGGUGGUGGUUUAAGUCCGUUGUGAAAGCCCUGGGCUCAACCUGGGAAUUGCAGUGGAUACUGGGUCACUAGAGUGUGGUAGAGGAUAGUGGAAUUUCCGGUGUAGCAGUGAAAUGCGUAGAGAUCGGAAGGAACAUCUGUGGCGAAGGCGACUAUCUGGGCCAACACUGACACUGAGGCACGAAAGCGUGGGGAGCAAACAGGAUUAGAUACCCGUGUAGUCCCUGUCUCUUAUAC